CAUUAUGAAGCUAGUAGCGUUAACCUUUUAAGUUAAAGAUUGAGAGCUCUAAACCUCUCCAUAAUGA
This 67-nucleotide transfer RNA is filed under the name Ochotona thibetana (Moupin pika). RNAcentral describes it as "tRNA-Lys". It matches the Rfam family "tRNA". From Rfam's summary of the family: Transfer RNA (tRNA) molecules are approximately 80 nucleotides in length. Their secondary structure includes four short double-helical elements and three loops (D, anti-codon, and T loops). Further hydrogen bonds mediate the characteristic L-shaped molecular structure. tRNAs have two regions of fundamental functional importance: the anti-codon, which is responsible for specific mRNA codon recognition, and the 3' end, to which the tRNAs corresponding amino acid is attached (by aminoacyl-tRNA synthetases). tRNAs cope with the degeneracy of the genetic code in two manners: having more than one tRNA (with a specific anti-codon) for a particular amino acid; and 'wobble' base-pairing, i.e. permitting non-standard base-pairing at the 3rd anti-codon position. Lineage: Eukaryota; Metazoa; Chordata; Mammalia; Lagomorpha; Ochotonidae. The record is from RNAcentral.